RNAcentral lists this ribosomal RNA (442 nucleotides) under uncultured bacterium. Its description in RNAcentral is "partial 16S ribosomal RNA". It matches the Rfam family "Bacterial small subunit ribosomal RNA", at positions 338 to 795 of the family's 1533-position model. The record is from RNAcentral.
CCUACGGGAGGCAGCAGUGGGGAAUAUUGGGCAAUGGGCGCAAGCCUGACCCAGCAACGCCGCGUGAGGGAAGAAGGCUUUCGGGUUGUAAACCUCUUUUGACAGGGAAGAGUAGAGUACGGUACCUGUCGCAUAACCCACGGCUAACUACUAGGCAGCAGCCGCGGUAAUACGUAGGGGGCGAGCGUUGUCCGGAUUUACUGGGUGUAAAGGGCGUGUAGGCGGGUUGAGAAGUCAGGGGUGAAAUGCUGUGGCUCAACCGCAGAAUUGCAGUUGAAACUGGUGGUCUUGAGUACUGGAGAGGCAGGCGGAAUUCCUGGUGUAGCGGUGAAAUGCGUAGAUAUUAGGAGGAACACCAGUGGCGAAGGCGGCCUGCUGGACAGUGACUGACGGUGAGGCGCGAAAGCGUGGGGAGCAAACAGGAUUAGAUACCCGAGUAGUC